Molecule: long non-coding RNA, 2579 nt
Filed under: Limulus polyphemus (Atlantic horseshoe crab)
Lineage: Eukaryota; Metazoa; Arthropoda; Merostomata; Xiphosura; Limulidae
Description: uncharacterized LOC111087671
Source: RNAcentral
CCUAAACAAUUUUUUUUUAUUGCAGGCCUCAUUAAACAAGUUGUGAAACAUCAUAGUCAGUUUAUCUAUACAAGAACUACGAAAGGAGAUGAUGCACAAUGAAAUUUGUACAUUAACCAGAAUGAAAUAAACUUUUGUUGCUCGUGAUUAUUCCUUUGAACUGAAUUAUUUUUUAAAUGAAUUAAGUUAGCAGCAAUAUAUCUCAUUUUCAACCUGUGGUAUACCUUAAGCUAUUUUAAGUGUAACAUGUUUGUAGGGAAAGAGAUUUCACUAAAUCUAUACUUUUUUAACAUAUGAAAUAGAAUAUAACAUAGUUGAAAAUAAACAUAUUUCAGAUAAAGCAUGGAAAAAUAUUCUUGUCUAUUGGUUAAGCCAGAAGAUCGACUGCUAAUAGAGCUGGUAAGGUAUCAAGAUGGCUGAACUGUUCUGUUGUGCUGUAUGCUCAAAGUUUGACAUUUGUUCUAUUUAGAUAAAUUAAGUUGAUUUAAAAAUACAUAUAUAUAAAUCAGUAGGUAGGGAAAAAAUGAUAAACAGUGUGUUAAAGAUUUCAUUAGUCCCUAUUUAGCUAAAAAAUGGUUUACUUAAAAUCUGAUCAUGUUUUUGCAGUAAUAAGUGUCAUUACGUUAUUAACUUAAAACAAUUAUUUAAAGGUCAGUUAUGGUAAAAGGUGGUGGAUCAUGAACUUUCUGUAACCAUUAUUAAAGCUAUUUAGUCUGUAAUUACCUUAUUGUAGACUGUAAGUUGUGCAAAGCCGUUAUUGAUAAAUAUUUGAAUUGAGAAGACUUAAAAUUUCUUAAGAUUGGUAUUCAUUUUCAUAUGCAAGAUUUUUAACUAGAUGAUUUUGGUAUUGACAGAAACUGCAUGCUAUAUUGUAGAAGUAAAUACAUGCCACAAUUUCACAGAUAAACUUGCUAAAGGAAUCAAAAAAUGGUUUAACUCGACCACAUUUCUGUGUUUAGUUUGACUCAUCUAUGUAUCUUGUUUUCAAAGAACAGUUUUAGCUUGAACUUGAAGUAAAUAUUCUAAACAGAAGAUGAAUACUAGAAUGGUAACUUAUUAAAUGUAUAUGAAUAAAAGAAAAAAAUCUUGAUUUACCAAAAUGUUCUUGACUUGUCUUAACAUCUAUUAUACAAGCAGUGAAACACUUUUUGUUGAAACAUAAACAAAGUAUAUAAAACACAACAACAUCACUUACUAUCAAAUUUGCAAUAUAUAAAUACAAAGGAUAUUCAAUAAAAAAAAAUAUAAGUUAUUGUAAAACUUUUAAAGAGUCUAAAUGAUAUAUCAAAGAGAAUUUUGGGGGUGGGGGAGAGAAAGAUUACAUAGUUCAAAAAGUUUAAAUUAUGUUUUUUAGAGUGAGGUGGUAUGUGCUGGGAAUUACCAUUUUAUGAUGAAGUUUCUUAGAUUUGUUAGAAAAAAAAAUAGCAUAAACAAAAGGAGAUUUCAGCACAAACUCCUGUUAGGUGGCACUCAAAGUGUUUGAGUACAUGCUAGUUUCUCAUCUUACUAAUCUAUGCUUAGCUGCUUUUGUCAGCCAGACAUUAAAAGUAUUUGACAAAAAUGUUUUUCUGAAGAUAAGCAUGUAUGAAGGUUGGAACUUAAAAGAACUGAGAAAAAAAAAGGGGAGAGCUUCAGCUAAGAAUUGCCUGCAUUUCAGAUUGGAAAUGAUUAGUUAAAAGAUUGAAGGCCUGUGACAGAUAUUUCAAAUUUUAGGAAAGAUCUUAUGUCACUACCAGACCUAGUAACUAGAAGACGUCAACACCAGAUGCCUUAUAUAAAAAUGUUACUGCCAACUCUCCUCUUGUAACAUCUGAAGAAUGCAUUAAAUUAUAUUUCAAUUCAUGAUUCAGUCUUUUUUUCAUAACAUCUUUUGAAAAAUCAUUUAGUGCAAUGACUUUUUUAGCAGAUUCAUUUGAAUUUGUACGAUUUAUGUAUAUUAUAAAGUAAGAAUUCAAAAUAUGUUUCUAUAUAAUUGUUUAAAGUUUAAUUUGUUUUUCUACAUAAGUAAAUGUUAAACUGUUACAAAGAAAAUAUUAGUUACUGAUUAUUGUAAAAACCUUAAGGUGAUAAAUGUAAAUUAAUAGAAAUAUAUUAAGUAUUUGUUGCUUUUUUUUCUGGUUUGUGAAAUUCUUAAAAGUUAGUUUUGGAAUGAUUUCCUAUUUUUACUUUGCAUAGUCAGUGUCUGGCACAAAUGAGAACUUUAACCUAUGACAUUGAUAUUGAUUUAAAACAAUGGUGAAGUAAUAGCUUCUCAUUGUUAAUGCGUAGCUGAUAUGGGACCCAAUGCCCACUGUAACACAGAGGGGCAGCAUUGUAUAGUCUUCUUGAUUUAAAAAAAAUCGGAUCAAAUUUUUGUUGAACAUACUUGUACUGAUCGGCUUCAAAGCUUUCACAGACUAAUAGUGGUUCUCCUGUAAAAGCAGCUAACCUUGAGAAAACCACUAAAAAUAAAAUCAAAAACAUAAUUUAUGAUCUAGUUGAGUUACAGUAGACUGAAACUGAUGAACAGUACAGAGCUCAAAUAUGAAAUGUAAGAUUAGUUAUGAUGAUCAAACACAUUAAAGUGUCUUUUUCUGAAA